Long non-coding RNA from Brassica oleracea var. oleracea, 506 nucleotides. RefSeq lists it as uncharacterized. The record is from RefSeq and is a predicted model, not a curated record. The transcript has 3 exons. Lineage: Eukaryota; Viridiplantae; Streptophyta; Magnoliopsida; Brassicales; Brassicaceae.
AGCUCACAUUAAAAGAGAGAGAAAGAGAAAGAAACCAGAAACAAUAACAAAGAAGAUCUAAAGAAAAAGAAGAGUGAUGAAAAAGCAAGUGACAAUAUUGGCGGCUCUUCUGAUCAUAAUGGCUUUUUCUUCCAACUUAGAUAUGGUUGCGGAGGCUCAGUUAGGCCCCGGAGACUGCUACGAUAGUUGCUCCACAGGCUGCGUCCAGCGCGACUCGAGAAAGAUCGCCCGAUGCGAUAGCAAGUGCUCCAUUCGGUGCGGCCCAGAUGCUAAAAAGGCAAGAAAGACUGGUGCAUAAAUCUUUAUAUCCACUAUGAUCCAAUUAGAUUUAAUGAUGUUGUAAUCUCCAUUCAUAACUGCAUCGCUUCAAAACAUAUUUCGUAUUGUGUGUUGUUAUCGUAAUCAGUUAAUAAGGCAAUACAGCUACAAUGCUUGAUUUCACUUCUAGUACUAUAAUGUAUUAACAACUUUGAAAUGUAAUGAAAACCGGACCAACCGGUUUACUA